This 553-nucleotide ribosomal RNA is filed under the name uncultured bacterium. RNAcentral's name for it is "bacterial SSU rRNA". It matches the Rfam family "Bacterial small subunit ribosomal RNA", at positions 337 to 907 of the family's 1533-position model. The record is from RNAcentral.
UCCUACGGGAGGCAGCAGUGGGGAAUAUUGGACAAUGGACCAAAAGUCUGAUCCAGCAAUUCUGUGUGCACGAUGAAGGUCUUCGGAUCGUAAAGUGCUUUCAGGUGGGAAGAAAAAAAUGACGGUACCUACAGAAGAAGCGACGGCUAAAUACGUGCCAGCAGCCGCGGUAAUACGUAUGUCGCAAGCGUUAUCCGGAAUUAUUGGGCGUAAAGCGCGUCUAGGCGGCCUUUUAAGUCUGAUGUGAAAAUGCGGGGCUCAACUCCGUAUUGCGUUGGAAACUGGAAGGCUAGAGUAUCAGAGAGGUGGGCGGAACUACAAGUGUAGAGGUGAAAUUCGUAGAUAUUUGUAGGAAUGCCGAUUGGGAAGCCAGCUCACUGGAUGAAUACUGACGCUGAAGCGCGAAAGCGUGGGGAGCAAACGGGAUUAGAUACCCCGGUAGUCCACGCCGUAAACGAUGAUCACUAAGUGUGGGGGGUCGAACCUCCGUGCUCAAGCUAACGCGAUAAGUGAUCCGCCUGGGGAGUACGCACGCAAGUGUGAAACUCAAAGG